This is a long non-coding RNA of Eriocheir sinensis (Chinese mitten crab), 417 nucleotides long. RefSeq lists it as uncharacterized. The transcript has 3 exons. The record is from RefSeq and is a predicted model, not a curated record. Lineage: Eukaryota; Metazoa; Arthropoda; Malacostraca; Decapoda; Varunidae.
GUGAGUUUUGGUUUGGUGUGGAUAUGCUCGUGUCAUAUUUUCAAAGGCAGUAGAGGAGAUUAACCGUGUCCAGCAUCAUCUUUGUCUCCGGGUUGAUCACAAUUCUCCAGACGACCUUUGGGAUUAGGUGAGUGAGUUUUGGUUUGGUGUGGAUAUGCUCGUGUCAUAUUUUCAAAGGCAGUAGAGGAGAUUAACCGUGUCCAGCAUCAUCUUUGUCCCCGGGUUGAUCAUAAUUAUCCAGACGACCUUUGGGAUUAGGUGAGUGAAGUUUUGGUUUGGUGUAGAUAAGCUUGUGUCAUAUAUCGGUAUUUUUAGACUCUUCCCCUUCUCGCACAAUUUCCAAACGCCAAAGAGGAGUUAAUCGUGUCCUGCAUCAUUUUCGUCUCCGGGUUGAUUAUUAUUCUCCUGACGACCUUU